This 305-nucleotide long non-coding RNA is filed under the name Chloebia gouldiae (Gouldian finch). Its description in RNAcentral is "Erythrura gouldiae (Gouldian finch) lncRNA (ENSEGOG00005003904.1)". Lineage: Eukaryota; Metazoa; Chordata; Aves; Passeriformes; Passeridae. The record is from RNAcentral.
AAACUGUGUGAGCGAAGUCUUUUUCAUUUUCUUUUGGCCUCAGAGAGCACCGGGGAAAGUGUGGGAGUGGCUGUGUGCUGCUGCAGAUGCUGCCGUGUUGAUGAGACGACGAGAGAGGCUCCAAGCGAGGUCCAUCCAGCAGUGAGUUCCUCUCCUCCCACCAGCCCGGCUUAGCACAGCACUCGUGCUGCAGCCACCCUGCCAGAACCCCCUGGGUUAGGAACAGAAACAUUGCUGUGGAAGAAAUUAUUAAUGAGCUCGCUCCUGCCUGGACUACAGGGUCAGCAGGGCUUCACACACUUUCC